GGCCGCGUGGCCUAAUGGCUAAGGCGCUAGAUUUCGGUUCUUCAGCACCAAUUCUCUAGAGAUUCCAGGUUCGACUCCUGGCGUGGUCG
RNAcentral lists this transfer RNA (89 nucleotides) under Fusarium irregulare. It matches the Rfam family "tRNA". Rfam says of the family: Transfer RNA (tRNA) molecules are approximately 80 nucleotides in length. Their secondary structure includes four short double-helical elements and three loops (D, anti-codon, and T loops). Lineage: Eukaryota; Fungi; Ascomycota; Sordariomycetes; Hypocreales; Nectriaceae. The record is from Rfam by way of RNAcentral.